This 466-nucleotide ribosomal RNA is filed under the name uncultured Verrucomicrobiota bacterium. RNAcentral's name for it is "bacterial SSU rRNA". It matches the Rfam family "Bacterial small subunit ribosomal RNA", at positions 338 to 795 of the family's 1533-position model. The record is from RNAcentral. Lineage: Bacteria; Pseudomonadati; Verrucomicrobiota.
CCUACGGGGGGCUGCAGUCGAGAAUCUUUCGCAAUGGGCGAAAGCCUGACGGUGCGACGUCGCGUGGAGGAUGAAGGUCUUCGGAUUGUAAACUCCUGUCAUGAGGGAUAAAUGGCCGGGGCACGAAUAGUGCCUUGGAAUGAUAGUACCUCAGGAGGAAGAGACGGCUAACUCUGUGCCAGCAGCCGCGGUAAUACAGAGGUCUCGAGCGUUGUUCGGAUUUACUGGGCGUAAAGGGAGCGUAGGCGGUUCGGUGUGUUGAAUGUGAAAUCCCACAACUCAACUGUGGAAUGGCAUUCAAAACUACUGGGCUAGAGUACUGGAGAGGAGAGCGGAAUUCUUGGUGUAGCGGUGAAAUGCGUAGAUAUCAAGAGGAACACCGGUGGCGAAGGCGGCUCUCUGGACAGAUACUGACGCUGAGGCUCUAAAGUUAGGGGAGCAAACAGGAUUAGAUACCCCUGUAGUC